CCAUUAGGCAGUAAACCGUUUAGCUCUUCGGCAUUAAAUUGAGUAAGGAUCCCUCACCCUAUUCUCUAUCAUAGAACUGAAGCUUAAAUAAAUAAUAAUGUGGUAUUUUAUGCGAUUUUAGUAAAUAUGCAUAAUUAAUUACAUGUUGCUAAUGGAGCCGGAACCGAAAAUUAUCUACUACUGUUGUUGAUUUUUUUUACAGUUUACCUGCAUGAUAGUAUCUUAUUUAU
This 230-nucleotide long non-coding RNA is filed under the name Carica papaya (papaya). RNAcentral describes it as "long non-coding RNA (CPAP_LNC006954)". The record is from RNAcentral. Lineage: Eukaryota; Viridiplantae; Streptophyta; Magnoliopsida; Brassicales; Caricaceae.